UCCUUAGAUGUUCUGGGCCGCACGCGUGCUACACUGAGUGGAUCAGCGGGUCAGGUUGCGCGAAAGUGUUUCCUAAUCUUGAAAUCCGCUCGUGAUGGGGAUUGACGGUUGCAAUUUUCCGUCAUGAACGAGGAAUACCUUGUAAGCGCGGGUCAUCAUCCCGCGCUGAAUACGUCCCUGCCCUUUGUACACACCGCCCGUCGCUCCUACCGAUUGAGUGGUCCGGUGAGGCUUUGGGAUCUGAGCGGAAAGAGCGUUUCGCUGUUUCUGCUCGGAAAACUCAGUCGAACCUUAUCAUUUAGAGGAAGGAGAAGUCGUAACA
This 322-nucleotide ribosomal RNA is filed under the name uncultured eukaryote. RNAcentral's name for it is "partial 18S ribosomal RNA". It matches the Rfam family "Eukaryotic small subunit ribosomal RNA", at positions 1470 to 1796 of the family's 1831-position model. The record is from RNAcentral.